GCUGCGGUAGCUCCAGUGGUAGAGCGCGUCCUUGGUAAGGACGAGGUCAUGGGUUCGAAUCCCAUCCGUAGCA
RNAcentral lists this transfer RNA (73 nucleotides) under Caulobacter phage CcrSC. RNAcentral describes it as "tRNA-Thr". It matches the Rfam family "tRNA". From Rfam's summary of the family: Transfer RNA (tRNA) molecules are approximately 80 nucleotides in length. Lineage: Duplodnaviria; Heunggongvirae; Uroviricota; Caudoviricetes; Jeanschmidtviridae. The record is from RNAcentral.